CAGUAGCCGCGGGAAAACAGAGGGUGCGAGCGUUAAUCGGAUUUACUGGGCGUAAAGCGUGCGUAGGCGGCUUCUUAAGUCGGAUGUGAAAUCCCUGAGCUUAACUUAGGAAUUGCAUUCGAUACUGGGAAGCUAGAGUAUGGGAGAGGAUGGUAGAAUUCCAGGUGUAGCGGUGAAAUGCGUAGAGAUCUGGAGGAAUACCGAUGGCGAAGGCAGCCAUCUGGCCUAAUACUGACGCUGAGGUACGAAAGCAUGGGGAGCAAACAGGAUUAGAGACCCCGGUAGUCCCUGUCUCUUAUAC
Molecule: ribosomal RNA, 301 nt
Filed under: uncultured bacterium
Lineage: Bacteria
Description: partial 16S ribosomal RNA
Rfam family: Bacterial small subunit ribosomal RNA
Source: RNAcentral